AUGAAUUUAUCAUCACGGCUCAUGAUUCAUCCUAAACAGUUGGAGCUCUGUGCUCUGUUAGCUGCUAUCUGGGCAGCUGUUGGGCUUGGUGGCCUUGCUGUACAGAUACAGUUCCAUCGUCCUUAGAGCAAAAAGACUGACUGAAGAAUGCAGCCUAUGAAGGGGAUUUGAAGUGCGAGCCUCCAACAUGGCUGUGGUUCUGCCAGCAAGAGCAGGGUAUGUGGCUUGAAACAUUGUCCACCUGAUGUUUGCUUUUGCUUUUAAGACAGAUGCCAACACGGAAGCUAACAGUUUCUGACCUCAUAUGUAAACAACAGGCCAUUUCAGGGUAGCUUGCAGCUAUGCGUUAUAGUUGGGGAUGUUAGAGGGUCAUGCAGCACGGUCCUGGCAGCUGCCAGGAAGGAGAUGCCAGCUGGGGAGCUGAGGAUGGGGUCCAGGGCAGUGUGGACACUUGCCAUUCUCUGCAUAUAACGAGUAAGGUGGGUCUGGCAUCUUCUCGACACUGAACUAAAGCUACGUACACGGUCUUGGAAAUGCAGGAGGUGGUGGCACAUGGGCGUUUUCAUCUUAUGCAUGUGGUGCCUGUGGUGAGCAGAAGAGUGUGCCAGAUCCACAGGCGUGAGCUGCCAUGUGGGUCCCCGAAACAGAAUCCUCUGCAAGAACAAGUGCUCUUGACCACUGAGAUUCCCCCAGCCCUUCCUACCCGGGUCUUCGUGCCUGCCUGCAUUGUCUCAGUCCCAUCUGAUCUCAGCAGUGACCGCCGUCUCCGUCUUUAAGGGAGUGUUUGAAGACACUGUGCUGUGGGAAGAAGUUUCCAUGUGGAGCUUUUUCGGAGAAGGACCAGAGCUUGUGACGAGCCUCCAUGUAGUCAUCACCUGAUGGCACAUCUUCUCUUCGGUAUCCUCCAUAUUGUUCCCUUCUGCCCUAAUAUUCUGAAGCCACCAAGGAGCUUUCUGUUGACAACAUUGACCAGAUUCACUCCAGGAGCUGAAUUCUAGGCUGGGGCCCAGAAUAGAUGUGCUUAAACAGAGCUCUCUCAGAGUCUUGGCGGAGCAGCCAAGGCUGAGCGCUGGGACAUUGAGAGACCCCAGGGGAGGUGGAAGAGAUGAGUUUACCUGGAUCCGUUAAAGGACACUGGUAUCUUUCCUCCAAGUUCCUUCCAGAGAAUCAGCUGCUCCAGACAGGGACGAAUCCCCCUAAUGUCCCCUUCCCUACCUCCUCUUAUAGGGUCUUGGCAGGAAGAGAGCAAUGCCUUCCUGUCUCCUUGAUGACGUAUCAGCCGUGUCAGCCCCCCACCAGUGAGAGAAAAGGCCUGUGGGAUAUACCCAUCUGCAAGGGUUAACUGAGACACCAUGAGGAUAAAUGUUCCCUAGGCCUCAGCCAGCUGGAUCCCGUGAUCCAGAGCCUGGUGCUGGCACAGCCAGCAAACAAAGAUGCUUUGUUCAUGUACGAGAAUAAACACUUCCCCUGGAUAUUUACUCCCGGGCUCAAGUGUAAUAUGGGGUGUAAGUUACUCUUUAACAGGCAAUUGGAUACUGGCUGUUGAGUUCUGAACUAAUUUCCUGGAGGGAAGGGAUGGCUACAUCUGCCCAGGGGAUGACCAGCCUCAGGAGCGCCUAUGGCUGGCCAUUACCAGAAUCUGAGAACAGACACAGUGGCCACUGCAGGCUUCUCCAAGAGGCAGGGGAAGCGGAAUGAAAUGGAGGCCCAGCAAAGGGGAUGUUUAUUUUGCCAAGGCAAGGAACCUGCCUGUCCAUUCCCCUGCAUCCACACCAGCUGCUUGGGAGAAGGCAGUCAUCGUGUGCUUUGGGUGGGAAUAGGCUGUCCAGUGCCACGGUGCCCAGCCCCAAGCUCCAUUCCCACCAUUAACUGUUGCUACCCAAGUCUAAGCCUAGUCUUCUAGAUCAGAGGCAAUGGCUGACAUACCAUGACCUGUCAGUCUUUAGAACUUAAGUAAAACUGCACGGAGUGAGGCGUGGUGAUUGCUGGCAGGGUCCUUGUCUGGCAUGUGGCAGGCGCUGGGUUCCAUCCCUGACAUCUCAAAAGUAAAUGAAUAGCUACUGCACAUAGUUUUACAUGUCAAUCAUUAGAAACCUAGAUGAAGACUUUGGACAGAGAUUGUGUAGGAUCCACGGGGAGGAAAGGAAGCCAUCUCUCUUCCUACUGCCUGCUCUGAUUGGACCAUGGGAGACCUCUGCCCCAGGGAAGUUUGUCCUUGGCUUGCUAGAGACCUAUCGCUAAGUACAGAAAGAUGACAAGGCUAUUGACUUGCCCCUGCGUGGAUAUUUGGACCAGAAAAAGAGGAGGGAAUCACUUUGCAGGAGGAUGAUAUAAGUAAAUGACAUGUGGGCAUCAUGGAGGUCACUGCACAAUGCCAUCCUCUGUGGCGGGCACAGGAGGGCACCAGGAGACAGACUCAGGAAGAGGUGUGGAAGGAAGCAAGUCAGAAGCCCUCAGAGCAACAGAGAGCUGUCCUUUCCUUGACUGUGUGGUGGUUGGAAUGAGAACAGUUCCUGUUCGCUCAUAGAUUUGAAUAUUUGGUUCUUGGAAAGGUUCGAAGAUGUGGCCUUGUUGGAGGAGGUAUGUCACAGGUGGUUGGCUUUGAGGUUUCAAAAGCCUAUGCUAGGUCCAGUCUCCAUCUCUCUUCCUGCAUCUUGCAGAUAAGAUCUACAAAAGCUCCUAGCAAUUGCUCUAGCACGAUGCCUGCCUGCCACAACGCUCCUCUCCAUGAUGGUAAGGACUCACCCUCUCAGACUAUAAGCAAGCCCCCAAUUAAGUACUUUCUUCUAAAGUUUAUCUUGCUCAUGGUGUCUCAUUAUGGCCAUAGAAAAGUAACAGAGACAACUUGUUUGGAUUCAGGGGCCAGCCACAGAACUAGGACCCAGGAUCCUGUGACCUGUCAG
This 2903-nucleotide long non-coding RNA is filed under the name Mus musculus (house mouse). RNAcentral's name for it is "long non-coding RNA chr12:111950420-111953323". The record is from RNAcentral. Lineage: Eukaryota; Metazoa; Chordata; Mammalia; Rodentia; Muridae.